UGUUUUGAUUCACUUGAUAAC
RNAcentral lists this small nuclear RNA (21 nucleotides) under Arabidopsis thaliana (thale cress). RNAcentral's name for it is "snRNA_06323". Lineage: Eukaryota; Viridiplantae; Streptophyta; Magnoliopsida; Brassicales; Brassicaceae. The record is from RNAcentral.